GACGAACGCUGGCGGCGUGCCUAAUACAUGCAAGUCGAACGCAGUGGGGACGGGUGAGUAACACGUGGGUAACCUCCCAUCAGAGGGGAUAACACUUGGAAACAGGUGCUAAACCGAUACUGAUGGAUGGACCCGCGGUGCAUUAGCGAGUUGGUGAGGUAACGGCUCACCAAGGCCACGAUGCAUAGGCGACCUGAGAGGGGGAUCGGACAAACUGGGACUGAGACACGGCCCAGAGUCGUAAGGGAGGCUGCAGUAGGGAAUCUUACGCAAUGGACGAAAGUCUGACCGAGCAACGCCGCGUUAGUGAAGAAGGGUUUCGGAACGUAAAUCUCUGGUGUUAGAGAAGAGGUAUCUAACCAGAAAGACACGGCUAACUACGUGCCAGCCGCCGCGGUAAUAC
Molecule: ribosomal RNA, 403 nt
Filed under: uncultured bacterium
Lineage: Bacteria
Description: partial 16S ribosomal RNA
Rfam family: Bacterial small subunit ribosomal RNA
Source: RNAcentral